ACCAUGCUAAAAAUGCACUUUUUUUCCUUUAUAGGGGAUGCCACUAGUUUCCUGAAGUUAUUAAGGAUACCAAAUUAAAGACCUGAUGAGAACAUGCAAUUUUACUACUGCCUUAAGAACAGAGAAUUAGGAAGAGUUCAUCUUCUGGUGCCCUCACCUGCUAUCAGACAACUACAGCAGCCCAAACCGAGCGAGCUGCGCAGAUUUGUUGUGAGAGGAAGUGUCUGACUCUAGAGCUGCACAGAUGGAACGGUGCUGCUUUCACAGGGGAUGUGCUACUCAAAUUUCAAAGAACAGCAUGGAAAACAUCUUAUCUUGCUGGAGUCCUGCUGCCAGCUGAGGAGUGUGACUGGAGCUCUGAAAACUUCUGCAGUGGCACUGGGUGUGUGCUGGGGCAACAGCAGGGGAUUC
Molecule: long non-coding RNA, 411 nt
Organism: Corapipo altera (White-ruffed manakin)
Lineage: Eukaryota; Metazoa; Chordata; Aves; Passeriformes; Pipridae
Exons: 4
Source: RefSeq, a predicted model, not a curated record